GAUGAAGAACGCAGCAAAAUGCGAUACUUGGUGUGAAUUGCAGAAUCCCGUGAACCAUCGAGUUUUUGAACGCAAGUUGCGCCCGAAGCCUUUUGGCCGAGGGCACGUCUGCCUGGGCGUCACGCAUCGCGUCGCCCCCCACAACUCUCCGUAAAGGGAACUUGUGUUUUGGGGGCGGAUAUUGGUCUCCCGUGCUCAUGGCGUGGUUGGCCGAAAUAGGAGUCCCUCCGGUGGACGCACGAACUAGUGGUGGUCGUAAAAACCCUCGUCUUUUGUUUCGUACCGUUAGUCGCGAGGGAAACUCUUUAAAAACCCAAAUGUGUCGUCUCUUGACGGCGCUUCGACCGCGACCCCAGGUCAGGCGGGACUACCCGCUGAGUUUAAGCAUAUCAAUAAGCGGAGGA
Molecule: unclassified non-coding RNA, 404 nt
Filed under: soil metagenome
Description: partial contains 5.8S ribosomal RNA, internal transcribed spacer 2, and large subunit ribosomal RNA
Rfam family: 5.8S ribosomal RNA (bases 1-122)
Source: RNAcentral